CUCUUUUCCGCAGUGGUUACUUCCUCGUCAAGCCGGGUAGAAUCAGCCGCAGAGCACCAGGACUGCCGAAGUGGCGAGAGGAUUCGGACAGCAAGGCGGUGGUGGUUAUGGCGGAGGCGAAGGAGCGGAAUGCCCCGCAGGAGUAGAGGUGCGGCCAUUGCGUUUCGAGUGCUCCAGUGUUAAGAAUGAGAGGUGCAGCCAGUAUGGUUGGUUGUGCGGGUUUAUGGCUGGGUCGGUAUUGCUACCGAGCUCCUAAAAAAGGUAUUACAGGCAUGUAAUUGAUGAUCCCAAAAUUUCAUUCAUUCUGUUGUGAGUUUAAAAUAUUAAUAGCGAGAAUUUUUCACCCCAGUUUCUCUCCACAGACACUUGCUAUCCCUCUGGUUUGUCAUUUCUUACCAUUUCUGCUUUCAAUGGCUAAAAUGCCUGCUUAUCAUUUCUUUCUUACAUUUCUGUGGCUAUGAAGAGAAUGGACUAAUGACAUAAUUGAUUGAUUACAAUAAUAACUAGCAAAAAUAUCCAAUUCUCUAGUAAUGUUAAGCAUUUGGCAGGCUUAAGUAAACAAGUUAAAGAUAAAUUAUCAACUCUACAAAGUGGCUAGAACGGUAAGUUGCUCAAUUAGAGAGAACAUGACAACUAUAUUUUCAUAGACCUUGAACUGGCAUAAGACCACUGAGAAAAUGACUAUCAAACUGAAGGACCUCUAAGCAUUCAACUCAGCAGAAAACACACAAGUACUUGAAACUAAGCAGGGAAAUCUGAAACAUGCGAAUGGAAUAUUUUCACCGCCAUUGAAAUUUUGGUUAUAAACUGAAUCGCAGUGUAGAGUGUAGAUACCUGUCAGAGUGAAGAAUUUCUUUGGUGAGACAAGUAAUGGGCUCUAUAUCUCUCAGAAUCUCAUCCUCCUUAUCUUUCCACUUCCUGUAAUCAGGAUCAUCCCAUAUUGGAUAGUUGGACGGAUCCCGCGCGCUCAACACUGCAGUGCUCUUUUCCGCAGUGGUUACUUCCUCGUCAAGCCGGGUAGAAUCAGCCGCAGAGCACCAGGACUGCCGAAGUGGCGAGAGGAUUCGGACAGCAAGGCGGUGGUGGUUAUGGCGGAGGCGAAGGAGCGGAAUGCCCCGCAGGAGUAGAGGUGCGGCCAUUGCGUUUCGAGUGCUCCAGUGUUAAGAAUGAGAGGUGCAGCCAGUAUGGUUGGUUGUGCGGGUUUAUGGCUGGGUCGGUAUUGCGAGUUAGUUUGCCUUUAGGCCCACUUCAUCAGCUGUGGGUUUGAG
RNAcentral lists this long non-coding RNA (1268 nucleotides) under Jatropha curcas. RNAcentral describes it as "long non-coding RNA (JCUR_LNC000901)". Lineage: Eukaryota; Viridiplantae; Streptophyta; Magnoliopsida; Malpighiales; Euphorbiaceae. The record is from RNAcentral.